AAAGGCGGCAAUGGAGGCGGGGUCCCACCUCUUCCCAUCCCGAACAGAGAAGUUAAGCCCGCCAUCGCCGAUGGUACUGCCCGUAAGGGCGGGAGAGUAGGCCGCCGCCGUCC
RNAcentral lists this ribosomal RNA (113 nucleotides) under Muribaculum sp. An287. Lineage: Bacteria; Pseudomonadati; Bacteroidota; Bacteroidia; Bacteroidales; Muribaculaceae. RNAcentral also lists the same sequence under 1 other name. The record is from RNAcentral.